ACUAAGGUGGCAGAAUGAUAUGCGUUAAAUUUAAGCUUUAAAGAUGAAAGUUUUUCCCCUAGUA
Molecule: transfer RNA, 64 nt
Filed under: Meretrix lamarckii (Korean hard clam)
Lineage: Eukaryota; Metazoa; Mollusca; Bivalvia; Venerida; Veneridae
Description: tRNA-Leu
Source: RNAcentral